CUGCUAUCGGGAUAGGACUAAGACAUGCUAGUCGCGUGCUUCAGCCAAUAAGAGGCACGGCAUACAGCUCAGUAACACGUGGCUAACCUGCCCUUGGGAUAGGAAUACCCCCGGGAAACUGGGACUAAUUCCCAAUAGGUGAAGAACUCUGGAAUGAGUCUCCACCCGAAAAGAGCCUGCGUUAUGCUCGUAGGUUUCGCCCAAGGAUGGGGCCGCGACCGAUCAGGUUGUUGGUGAGGUAAUGGCUCACCAAGCCUUUUACCGGUGCGGGCCGUGAGAGCGGGAGCCCGGAGAUGGGCACUGAGACAAGGGCCCAGGCCCUACGGGGCGCAGCAGUCGCGAAAACUUUGCAAUACACGAAAGUGUGACAGGGCUAUCCCGAGUGCCAUCCGCUGAGGAAGGCUUUUACCCAGUCUAGAAAGCUGGGAGAAUAAGGAGAGGGCAAGUCUGGUGUCAGCCGCCGCGGUAAUACCAGCUCUCCGAGUGGUGUGGAUGUUUAUUGGGCCUAAAGCAUCCGUAGCUGGCUAGGUUAGUCCCCUGUUAAAUCCACCGAAUUAAUCGUUGGAUCGCGGGGGAUACUGCUUGGCUAGGGGACGAGAGAGGCAGACGGUAUUUUCGGGGUAGGGGUGAAAUCCUAUAAUCCCGGGAAGACCACCAGUGGCGAAGGCUGUCUGCUAGAACGCGCCCGACGGUGAGGGAUGAAAGCUGGGGGAGCGAACCGGAUUAGAUACCCGGGUAGUCCCAGCUGUAAACGAUGCAGGCUAGGUGUUUGGACGGCCACGUGCCGUUCUAGUGCCGCAGGGAAGCUGUUAAGCCUGCCGCCUGGGGAGUACGAUCGCAAGAUCGAAACUUAAAGGAAUUGGCGGGGGAGCGCCACAAGGGGUGAAGCUC
RNAcentral lists this ribosomal RNA (891 nucleotides) under uncultured archaeon. RNAcentral's name for it is "bacterial SSU rRNA". It matches the Rfam family "Archaeal small subunit ribosomal RNA", at positions 27 to 896 of the family's 1478-position model. The record is from RNAcentral.